CACUGUGCUCCAAAACAGCAAUUGUCAGUGACAGAAAGCAUUAGAAGUAAUGGGGUGACAUGGAGCAACACGUGUGUCCUGUCCCUUCAGCAGAGGGAGACUAGCACUGCUCAGGGAACACAGAAACGUUGCUGGGAGAAUACAGCAGCACAGAGGAACAGCAGUACUUCUGGACAUGAGAACAGUGUUUAACUGAUUUACUAUUUAACCGAUUGUGCAAGUCUGCAGCCAUGUAUACACAGCGAUAAGCCCUUUUGCUUUUGAAGUUCUAAACCCUUCACCCAUGUUCUGUUGCUCGAUAGCUUAUUUUCAAACUGAUUGCAGAGCACUGUCACGAACUCUUCAUCUUUUUUUUCCCCCUUUUCCGGCAGUGUGAGCUAUCAGGUGAAGUUCCAUACCAGUGCAUCCCUCCUGCAUGUAAGCUCUGCUGACCAUUGCUUUCAGUCUGGUGUUUCACAAGCAGAAUGAUGUAGAAAGGUUCAAAACUUGUGAGCGCUCUGAUGGAGGGCAAUCUUAGGAGUGAAAUUAUAUGUUAUAAUGCUUGAUUGAAGUAUAUCAGCUUUGAUAAACGUUUCGAGCACUGAUAGACCUGAUAAUCAAAUGCUUGCAAUGCUCCUGGUGAUGGUAUGUAUGUGAACUGCCACAUCACGUCAGGUGCCAGGGAUCAAAAGUCACAGACUUUGAAAUGCCACAAUUACUCGUGAUGAUGACUUAUUUUCAUCUUGCAGUCCUUGUAUAGCAAACAUAAGCCCUGUUGUUUCUCUUGCUGUAACAAUAAACAAACUGCUCAUGUGAUGGUAGCCCUACUACUUUUUUUUUGCCCUUGUUUUUUCCACACAUUUUUGAACCUGAGAAUGGUAAGUGUCAAGACAGGCACACGGCAUAGAGCUAUACAUACACUGUGUAGUCAGUGCUAGCGUGAGGCAUGAAAUCUAGACCUGGCUGGGUGACAUCAGGU
RNAcentral lists this long non-coding RNA (958 nucleotides) under Gallus gallus (chicken). RNAcentral describes it as "long non-coding RNA NONGGAT004615". The record is from RNAcentral. Lineage: Eukaryota; Metazoa; Chordata; Aves; Galliformes; Phasianidae.